RNAcentral lists this transfer RNA (88 nucleotides) under Bacteroides fragilis. RNAcentral's name for it is "tRNA-Ser". It matches the Rfam family "tRNA". Rfam says of the family: Transfer RNA (tRNA) molecules are approximately 80 nucleotides in length. The record is from RNAcentral. RNAcentral also lists the same sequence under 2 other names. Lineage: Bacteria; Pseudomonadati; Bacteroidota; Bacteroidia; Bacteroidales; Bacteroidaceae.
GGAGAGUUGGGUGAGUGGCUUAAACCAGUCCCCUGCUAAGGGACCGAACCUCAAAAGGGUUCCGCUGGUUCGAAUCCAGCACUCUCCG